GAAAGGUGCCCGAGAAUAAGGACUGUUUUGAUAAAACAGAUACAGAGGCACAACCUCUCCUUCCUAUUAAGG
Molecule: transfer RNA, 72 nt
Filed under: Rhampholeon spectrum
Lineage: Eukaryota; Metazoa; Chordata; Lepidosauria; Squamata; Chamaeleonidae
Description: tRNA-Ile
Source: RNAcentral